UUAGGGUUUAAUGAAAGAUUAACAAUUUUCUUCCUCACGUUUCUUCUUCCUCUCUUUCUCCUUCUCUUCUCCUUCUUUUCUUCUUCUUCCUCCUUCUCUUCUCCCUCUUCUUCUAUUCCUGAUUUAAAAUUGCAACGUGAGUACAUUGAAACCACUGAAGUCUACCUUCCCGGAUUUGGUCCUACAUCAACUUGGUAUCAGAGCAAGGCUGGUUUUGCCCCUGCUGCCAAAGCCCCGAUCCAUCUCCCGGCUACUUCUUCCAAACCAAAAAAAAAAAAAUCCCGUAGGAUCACGUGACCUGCACGUGUUUCCAAAAAAAAAAAAAACUAAACCUCUGUUUCUGUCGAACGGAAACCCUAGGGUUUCCGCCGCCGACGCCAUUGCCGCCGCCCCUGCCGUGCCGUCUCUGCCGCCGACGCCUUCUCCUCCGUCAACCGAGCCGCGCCGCCCCUGUGUCCGUGCCGUCCGUGCCGCUCCGCCUUCGCCGCCUCCGCCCGUGCCGCCUCCUGCCGCCGCCGAGAUCC
Molecule: long non-coding RNA, 524 nt
Filed under: Phoenix dactylifera (date palm)
Lineage: Eukaryota; Viridiplantae; Streptophyta; Magnoliopsida; Arecales; Arecaceae
Description: long non-coding RNA (PDAC_LNC008037)
Source: RNAcentral